UAUCCUACGGGAGGCAGCAGUUAGGAAUAUUGGGCAAUGGAGGAAACUCUGACCCAGCAACGCCGCGUGAAGGAAGAAGGUUUUCGGAUUGUAAACUUCUGAUCUUGGGGAAAAAGAAAGUGAUGGUACCCAAGGAGAAAGCCACGGCUAACUACGUGCCAGCAGCCGCGGUAAUACGUAGGUGGCGAGCGUUGUCCGGAAUGACUGGGCGUAAAGGGAGCGUAGGUUGUUGUUUAAGUUAAAUGUGAAAGCCCGCGGCUCAACUGCGGAACUGCAUUUAAUACUGGACAACUAGAGUGCAGGAG
This 305-nucleotide ribosomal RNA is filed under the name uncultured bacterium. Its description in RNAcentral is "bacterial SSU rRNA". It matches the Rfam family "Bacterial small subunit ribosomal RNA", at positions 335 to 654 of the family's 1533-position model. The record is from RNAcentral.